This 492-nucleotide ribosomal RNA is filed under the name uncultured bacterium. RNAcentral describes it as "partial 16S ribosomal RNA". It matches the Rfam family "Bacterial small subunit ribosomal RNA", at positions 29 to 507 of the family's 1533-position model. The record is from RNAcentral.
AGUGAACGCUGGCGGUAGGCCUAACACAUGCAAGUCGAACGGCAGCACAGUCAGAGCUUGCUCUUACGGGUGGCGAGUGGCGGACGGGUGAGGAAUACCUCGGAAUCUACUUUUUCGUGGGGGAUAACGUAGGGAAACUUACGCUAAUACCGCAUACGACCUACGGGUGAAAGCAGGGGAUCUUCGGACCUUGCGCGAUUGAAUGAGCCGAUGUCGGAUCAGCUAGUUGGCGGGGUAAAGGCGCACCAAGGCGACGAUCCGUAGCUGGUCUGAGAGGAUGAUCAGCCACACUGGAACUGAGACACGGUCCAGACUCCUACGGGAGGCAGCAGUGGGGAAUAUUGGACAAUGGGCGCAAGCCUGAUCCAGCCAUACCGCGUGGGUGAAGAAGGCCUUCGGGUUGUAAAGCCCUUUUGUUGGGAAAGAAAAGCAGCAGGUUAAUACCCCGCUGUUCUGACGGUACCCAAAGAAUAAGCACCGGCUAACUUCGUG